Molecule: non-coding RNA, 919 nt
Organism: Onthophagus taurus
Lineage: Eukaryota; Metazoa; Arthropoda; Insecta; Coleoptera; Scarabaeidae
Source: RefSeq, a predicted model, not a curated record
AAAUUAUCAUUACGUCAUUAAAAAUCCUGUAGACCUUGAAUUAAUGACACAACAUUUAAUAGUUUUAAAUCCCAUCUGUUUACGAAAAUUCGCAUUCAUUGAUUCGUUCAAACAGUUAGAUUAAUUUGAAUGUUAAUUUGUGUUUAUUUGCUAUUCCUGGCAUGAAACCGUUUUAAAUCAAAGCGCAAAGUCAGUCGUAACACUUCCAGUAAUCACUAAACGUAUCAUCGCCCUGGUUCGUUAUCAACAUUAUUAUUUAUAAUUCGUUUAAAAACAAUUUUCUUUGUGUCGUGUAUCGAAGAUAUAUUCUUGUUAUUGGAGAUCAAGUAUUGUUUACAUUUUAACGAGAUAUUUACAACUUAUAGGAAUAAAAUUGUGGUUUAACGACAAUAAAUCACCGGGAAAUUGAAUGAUGUAACUGGGAAAGUAUUUCGAAAGUGAGACGAGUUAGUAUACAUUUUUAAAGGUGGAUUUCGCAAUCGAUUUUUAAAGUGUCUUUAAACGUGUAUAUAUUUAUAAUAUAAGGUACUUUAAACAGUAUUUGAGUUUCUGAAGUGGAAUAGUGUGCGGAAACAAUGAAUAGAAGUACAGAAAUUUUAACUGUUAGUGGAAGCACUUCUUCGGUUAAUGAUGCUGAAGCUCAACAGUACAAUCCAAAAAGAAAACCGCGCCAACAAGUUGUUGCUGUAUGGGAUAAACAAAAAUCUUAUACCUUUAUCGGCAUGAUAGUUUGUUUCGUGGUUUGGAUUUGUGUCUUUUUCCCGCUUUUGGAAUGAUGAGGACAACAAUAAAAAAAUGACGAUACUUAAAAGGAAAACCAAUAUCAAAUACUUGAGAUUAUUAGCUUUUAGGAUGUUUUUGUUGUUUACAAAUAAAAUUCUUUAAAAAAUCAAAAAAUAAAUUUAUGUAUUAGCAGAAA